Molecule: ribosomal RNA, 372 nt
Filed under: uncultured organism
Description: bacterial SSU rRNA
Rfam family: Bacterial small subunit ribosomal RNA
Source: RNAcentral
CGUAGGGACCAAGCGUUGUUCGGAUUUACUGGGCGUAAAGGGCGCGUAGGCGGCUUUGUAAGUUACUUGUGAAAUCUCCGAGCUUAACUCGGAACGGUCAAGUAAUACUGCAGAGCUAGAGUGCAGAAGGGGCAAUCGGAAUUCUUGGUGUAGCGGUGAAAUGCGUAGAUAUCAAGAGGAACACCUGAGGUGAAGACGGGUUGCUGGGCUGACACUGACGCUGAGGCGCGAAAGCUAGGGUAGCAAACGGGAUUAGAUACCCCGGUAGUCCUAGCCCUAAACGAUGAAUACUUGGUGUCUGGAGUUUUUAUUCUCCGGGUGCCGUCGCUAACGUUUUUAGUAUUCCGCCUGGGGAGUACGCACGCAAGUGUG